UUUCCCUCAGGAUAGCUGGCACUCGCUUGAGCGAGUCUCAUCUGGUAAAGCGAAUGAUUAGAGGCCUUGGGGCCGAAACGACCUCAACCUAUUCUCAAACUUUAAAUGGGUGAGAUCUCUGGCUUGCUUGAACGUUGAAGCCAUGAGAAUGUGGAUCAGAGUGCCAAGUGGGCCAAUUUUGGUAAGCAGAACUGGCGCUGUGGGA
This 205-nucleotide ribosomal RNA is filed under the name Dirhinus sp. D1827. RNAcentral describes it as "partial 28S ribosomal RNA". It matches the Rfam family "Eukaryotic large subunit ribosomal RNA", at positions 967 to 1163 of the family's 3401-position model. Lineage: Eukaryota; Metazoa; Arthropoda; Insecta; Hymenoptera; Chalcididae. The record is from RNAcentral.